GAUCAUGGCUCAGGACGAACGCUGGCGGCGCGCCUAACACAUGCAAGUCGAACGAGCGAGAGAGAGCUUGCUUUCUCGAGCGAGUGGCGAACGGGUGAGUAACGCGUGGGUAACCUGCCUCAUACAGGGGGAUAACAGUUGGAAACGACUGCUAAUACCGCAUAAGCGCACAGGAUUGCAUGAUCCAGUGUGAAAAACUCCGGUGGUAUGAGAUGGACCCGCGU
RNAcentral lists this ribosomal RNA (224 nucleotides) under uncultured bacterium. RNAcentral's name for it is "partial 16S ribosomal RNA". It matches the Rfam family "Bacterial small subunit ribosomal RNA", at positions 15 to 236 of the family's 1533-position model. The record is from RNAcentral.